Molecule: non-coding RNA, 28 nt
Filed under: Mus musculus (house mouse)
Lineage: Eukaryota; Metazoa; Chordata; Mammalia; Rodentia; Muridae
Source: RNAcentral
UNGCCUCAAAAAGGCAAGAUAAUCUGAC